Molecule: ribosomal RNA, 433 nt
Filed under: uncultured bacterium
Lineage: Bacteria
Description: partial 16S ribosomal RNA
Rfam family: Bacterial small subunit ribosomal RNA
Source: RNAcentral
AGCGAACGCUGGCGGCAGGCCUAACACAUGCAAGUCGAACGAACCUUUCGGGGUUAGUGGCGGACGGGUGAGUAACACGUGGGAACGUGCCUUUAGGUUCGGAAUAACUCAGGGAAACUUGUGCUAAUACCGAAUGUGCUCUUCGGGGGAAAGAUUUAUCGCCUUUAGAGCGGCCCGCGUCUGAUUAGCUAGUUGGUUGAGGUAAUGGCUCACCAAGGCGAGGAUCAGUAGCUGGUCUGAGAGGAUGAUCAGCCACAUUGGGACUGGGACACGGCCCAAACCCCAGGGGGGGGAGGGGAGGGGGAAAUAUGGGAAGUGGGCGAAAGCCUGCAGCGCCCCGGCCGGGGUAAUGGUAAAGGGUUUGGGAUUGUAAAUUUCUUUUCCCGGGGAGGAAAUGAAGGUAACCGGGAAAAAAACCCCCGCCAACUUCGUG